Molecule: non-coding RNA, 32 nt
Filed under: Homo sapiens (human)
Lineage: Eukaryota; Metazoa; Chordata; Mammalia; Primates; Hominidae
Source: RNAcentral
AUGAGUGCACACUGCUUUCUGCUGGGACCAGU